GAUGAACGCUAGCGGUGCGCCUAAUACAUGCAAGUCGAGCGCCCUCACUUUGCCUUUGAAUCUUUCGAAGUCAGUGUGAGGGAGCGGCGAACGGGUGAGUAACACGUUGGAACCUACCCCAGACUCAGGGAUAGCCUACCGAAAGGUGGAUUAAUACCGGAUAGUCUCGUAAGAGUAAAGCUUUUGCGGUUUGGGAGGGGCCUGCGGCCUAUCAGCUUGUUGGUAGUGUAAUGGACUACCAAGGCUAUGACGGGUAUCUGGUGUGAGAGCAUGACCAGACACAAUGGAACUGAGACACGGUCCAUACUCCUACGGGAGGCAGCAGUAAGGAAUCUUCCGCAAUGGGCGAAAGCCUGACGGAGCGACACCGCGUGGAGGACGAAGGCCUUUUGGUUGUAAACUCCUUUUCUGGGGGAAUAAAUGAUGAAGGUACCCCAGGAAUAAGCACCGGCUAACUACGUG
Molecule: ribosomal RNA, 462 nt
Filed under: uncultured bacterium
Lineage: Bacteria
Description: bacterial SSU rRNA
Rfam family: Bacterial small subunit ribosomal RNA
Source: RNAcentral